AUUAACUUUGUCUCAAAAUUGAUGUGUAGCUUGAUCUUCAAGUCUUCCAACAUCCAUGCUAAUUUUCAUCUUAAUCCGAUUGAUAGAUCUUGAGAUAUCAUAGAAACCCUACCCAACCUCAAACUGUCACCUUCCGAAAUCCUUUUGUGCUAAAAACUAGAUAUCUCUAAACCACGCCAUUAGAUUAUCACAAAAUUUUGUAUACACUUAGGACAUCCAAUAAUCCAAAUAGUGUGAAAUUUUCAACCAUAGAUAUCACAUCAAUUGUACGAACUAGCCAAAAUUACUAGCCCUAAUUAUAUUAUAUAAAAUCCAAAUCACUAAUACAAACA
RNAcentral lists this long non-coding RNA (332 nucleotides) under Physcomitrium patens. Its description in RNAcentral is "long non-coding RNA (PPAT_LNC003768)". The record is from RNAcentral. Lineage: Eukaryota; Viridiplantae; Streptophyta; Bryopsida; Funariales; Funariaceae.